GAUGAAGAACGUAGCGAAAUGCGAUAAGUAAUGUGAAUUGCAGAAUUCAGUGAAUCAUCGAAUCUUUGAACGCACAUUGCGCCCCCUGGCAUUCCGGGGGGCAUGCCUGUUCGAGCGUCUCCAGGACGAAUCCUCGCGCGAGUGAACGCGCGGUCGUGGCGGAGGUGGCGUGCCCGAGCAGGGCGGCCACCGCGCUGGAAUCCAUGGGCGGACGCCUGCCGCGUGGCCGAGCGUGAUAUGACGCAUUGGCGCUCGCGCGCGGCGAGGCUGCCAGCCCUGGCCCGUCUGUCGGGCGGGGUAGAUCAACACGUGGGAACUCCUCGAAUCAGGUAGGGAUACCCGCUGAACUUAAGCAUAUCAAUAAGCGGAGGA
This 372-nucleotide unclassified non-coding RNA is filed under the name soil metagenome. RNAcentral describes it as "partial contains 5.8S ribosomal RNA, internal transcribed spacer 2, and large subunit ribosomal RNA". The stretch from base 1 to 120 matches the Rfam family "5.8S ribosomal RNA", at positions 35 to 154 of the family's 154-position model. The record is from RNAcentral.